AACCUCUUAGCUCAGCUGGUAGAGCGUGCGUGGUCCAAAAUCGUAGGCGGCGUCCAUGCUUGGGUUCGAAUCCCAACGAGGCUA
This 84-nucleotide transfer RNA is filed under the name Echinostoma caproni. It matches the Rfam family "tRNA". From Rfam's summary of the family: Transfer RNA (tRNA) molecules are approximately 80 nucleotides in length. Their secondary structure includes four short double-helical elements and three loops (D, anti-codon, and T loops). The record is from Rfam by way of RNAcentral. Lineage: Eukaryota; Metazoa; Platyhelminthes; Trematoda; Plagiorchiida; Echinostomatidae.